AUACGUGCUCCGGGGUCGGUGUAAGUCCGAACCGGCGGUGACAGUCCGCGACCCGCGAGCCGGUGGUUCCUUUACGGAAGCCCGGCGGACGGUUGAACUGGUGAAAUUCCAGUACCGACAGUUAAAGUCUGGAUGAGAGAAGCACGUAC
This 149-nucleotide non-coding RNA is filed under the name Arthrobacter globiformis. RNAcentral describes it as "FMN sequence". It matches the Rfam family "FMN riboswitch aptamer (RFN element)". Rfam says of the family: The RFN element is a highly conserved domain that is found frequently in the 5'-untranslated regions of prokaryotic mRNAs that encode for flavin mononucleotide (FMN) biosynthesis and transport proteins. This element is a metabolite-dependent riboswitch that directly binds FMN in the absence of proteins. In Bacillus subtilis, the riboswitch most likely controls gene expression by causing premature transcription termination within the 5' untranslated region of the ribDEAHT operon and precluding access to the ribosome-binding site of ypaA mRNA. RNAcentral also lists the same sequence under 1 other name. The record is from RNAcentral. Lineage: Bacteria; Bacillati; Actinomycetota; Actinomycetes; Micrococcales; Micrococcaceae.